This is a non-coding RNA of Podarcis lilfordi (Lilford's wall lizard), 259 nucleotides long. The record is from the annotation of a GenBank genome assembly. NCBI's taxonomy places the organism in Eukaryota, Metazoa, Chordata, Lepidosauria, Squamata, Lacertidae.
UGGAAUCUCCUUUCUUUUAACUUGAAGCCAUGGGUUCGAGUCCUACCCUCCAGAGCAGGAGAAAACAAGGUUGCUCCAUCUUCCAUGUGGCGACCCUUUAAAUCUUGAAAGAUGGCUCUCAUAUCUCCUCUUUUGGAUUCAGAGCCAUCUCUCAAGAUCUAAAGGGUCGCCACAUGGAAGAUGGAGCAACCUUGUUUUCUCCUGCUCUGGAGGGUAGGACUCGAACCCAUGGCUACAAGUUAAAAGAAAGGAGAUUCCA